Molecule: ribosomal RNA, 505 nt
Filed under: uncultured bacterium
Lineage: Bacteria
Description: partial 16S ribosomal RNA
Rfam family: Bacterial small subunit ribosomal RNA
Source: RNAcentral
GACGAACGCUGGCGGCGUGCCUAAUACAUGCCAGUCGAACGCACAGUUUAUACCGUAGCUUGCUACACCAUAGACUGUGAGUUGCGAACGGGUGAGUAACGCGUAGGUAACCUGCCUGGUAGCGGGGGAUAACUAUUGGAAACGAUAGCUAAUACCGCAUAAUAUUAAUUAUUGCAUGAUAAUUAAUUGAAAGGUGCAAUUGCACCACUACCAGAUGGACCUGCGUUGUAUUAGCUAGUAGGUGAGGUAACGGCUCACCUAGGCGACGCGACAUAGCCGACCUGAGAGGGUGAGCGGCCACACUGGGACUGAGACACGGCCCAGACUCCUACGGGAGGCAGCAGUAGGGAAUCUUCGGCAAUGGACGAAAGUCUGACCGAGCAACGCCGCGUGAGUGAAGAAGGUUUUCGGACCGUAAAGCUCUGUUGUAAGAGAAGAACGGGGGUGAGAGUGGAAAGUUCACACUGUGACGGUAUCUUACCAGAAAGGGACGGCUAACUACGUG